Molecule: long non-coding RNA, 1082 nt
Organism: Chinchilla lanigera (long-tailed chinchilla)
Lineage: Eukaryota; Metazoa; Chordata; Mammalia; Rodentia; Chinchillidae
Exons: 3
Source: RefSeq, a predicted model, not a curated record
AGCAGAACCAAUGUCCUUAAGUUGGAAUGCUGGAGAAAAAGAAGGCAUAAAGGACAGGAGGGACAGGAGAGGCCAUGGAGCUCUGAAGCCAGAGAAGGGAAAGGAGCCUGGAGUGCACAAGGCCACUGAUUCCAGGACUGCUCUGGAUGGGAAUGCAGAAGCCCAAGGCACAUAGUUGGAAGUUGGCUAACUAAGAUAUCAUCCUUGGUUAUGGGACUGAAAUGUGCAUAAAAGGCGAGGCAUGCUUCAGGGCGCAGAGGCUGAGAACACUCCCUGCUUUCCCACGAUGGAAGAGGUGCCCAUGGGACUCAGAUCUGACCGACAUGAACUGCGAGAAGAUUGCUAGGGAAGGUUUUCCCUGGAUGAAAAGGAGGCAGGAGCCGUGCUGAAGAAGAGUCCUCGCCUGCCACUUGUUCUUCCUGUCUUUGGAAGCAGCUGUGUGACCGUCUGAUUCCCACAGCUGCGACAGCCAGCUUGACCACAGUGGUGGCCACAGGGGAUGCCGCUGAGAACAAAAAUUUGGCCUCAGAAUGGCAAGUAAAAGGAAGGAAAAAGCCUGCACCUUCAAAGAUACUUUGUGCAUCUCCUUGCCGUUUAUGGGAAGCAAUGAGAUCCUAUUUGUUUGGGGGACUUCUGCUUGUGAAUUUUCUUUCUUGAAGCCACAAGAAAGAUGCACUAUAAGGUGGAGAAGGAGAACGGGAACAAUUCUUUCAAGAAGCUGUUGUGGCUUUUGUCUAGAUGUCCCCCCAAAGCCCCAUGUGGCCGUAGGUGGGACUUCUCGGAGGUGGCUGGGCAGAGUGCGAGAUGCUGGGAACAAGGAUGUCGUCCUAGGAUCGAGUCACAGCAUGAUGCUAGGCUUCAGGGGGUGAGUGCUUCCAGCCCUAAGGGUGGGUAGCCUGAAUAAAUUCUAAGAGACAGGAAGAGGGCUGCUGUUGUUGUUGCUUGCUGCCUUCUGCCUGCCCUGCUUUGCCAUGGACUGUUUCUCCUCUGUGAUACUCCCCUACUAUGCCACUCGGCCUUGGAGACUGACUAUGGACUGAAACCUGUACAAACUGUGAGCAAAAUAAGCCUCCCCUCCUUUA